This is a long non-coding RNA of Magallana angulata, 781 nucleotides long. RefSeq lists it as uncharacterized. NCBI's taxonomy places the organism in Eukaryota, Metazoa, Mollusca, Bivalvia, Ostreida, Ostreidae. The transcript has 2 exons. The record is from RefSeq and is a predicted model, not a curated record.
CAGUUCAUCAUACACUAAAAUUCUAGGAUUUGUAAAAACACCCUUUGAUAAGAUAUCAGUUAGUUCCCUUCAGGGAGCCCCAGAAUAUCCAAAGAUUUCCAGGACUGAUUGGAUGUCUUUCAUGUUUUCAAUAAUUGGGGGUCAUAAGGGGACAAUUAGGGAACCAAUCAUGAAAAACUACUGAUAACACAUGCAUCCACUGCCUCUUACCAGAACUCCAAUUACUGAUCAUCUUCCACAUGCUAAUACCAACACUGCCCUCAACUACCCUGCAACUCAGAUCCUUAAUACUCAAUAAAUAAAAAUUUCAUAAUGUUUCCCCAAGUUUUGUAAUUUUUUUUCUCCGUCUGAAAUCAGCAGAGAAAAUGUAAUUUUCCUUGCAAGAAAGGCUGCGCUAGAAUGGUUAAGUGUUUCGUGAAAUUAACUGCAUAUUACAAGAAAACAAGAGGGUGAUGCUCUAGCUAUAAAUAGUUGGCAUUCCAUCAUUAGAUCUCAGUGAUAAGACCAGAGCACCUCUCCAUCCCUCCAUCUGCACAUGCAAGAUUCCACUCAACUAGUGGACCUAUAUCACUGGAUCAAAGCUAAAAUGGCGGAAGCUGAUUGAAAGUGACGUCACCCCGGAAGUGUAUUUGAUACCUGUUAAUCUAGGGGGACGUGUCAACAUCUAUUUGAUGAGAACAGUUUUCGACAGUGCCAUGCCGAAAUAGUUCGGACUCCUAACAAUACAAUUAUAUCUUAUGUUUUCACUCAUUUUGUAUUAAAUUUUAUUGUUAAAAUACUA